UACGGGGGGGGCAAGCGUUGUUCGGAAUUACUGGGCGUAAAGGGUGCGUAGGUGGCCGGGUAAGUCUGACGUGAAAUCUCCGAGCCUAACUCGGAAACUGCAUCGGAUACUAUCCGGCUUGAGGGUUGGAGGGGGGACUGGAAUACUUGGUGUAGCAGUGAAAUGCGUAGAUAUCAAGUGGAACACCAGUGGCGAAGGCGAGUCCCUGGACAACUCCUGACACUGAGGCACGAAAGCUAGGGGAGCAAACAGG
Molecule: ribosomal RNA, 253 nt
Filed under: uncultured bacterium
Lineage: Bacteria
Description: partial 16S ribosomal RNA
Rfam family: Bacterial small subunit ribosomal RNA
Source: RNAcentral